This 73-nucleotide transfer RNA is filed under the name Tursiops truncatus (common bottlenose dolphin). RNAcentral's name for it is "tRNA-Und (NNN) (tRNA-Und-NNN-15-1)". It matches the Rfam family "tRNA". Rfam says of the family: Transfer RNA (tRNA) molecules are approximately 80 nucleotides in length. Their secondary structure includes four short double-helical elements and three loops (D, anti-codon, and T loops). RNAcentral also lists the same sequence under 3 other names. Lineage: Eukaryota; Metazoa; Chordata; Mammalia; Artiodactyla; Delphinidae. The record is from Rfam by way of RNAcentral.
UCCCUGGUGGUCCAGUGGUUAGGACUCCAUGUUUCCACCACAGGGAGCCUGGGUUCGAUCCCUGGUCAGGGAA